Molecule: non-coding RNA, 4041 nt
Organism: Meleagris gallopavo (turkey)
Lineage: Eukaryota; Metazoa; Chordata; Aves; Galliformes; Phasianidae
Source: RefSeq, a predicted model, not a curated record
UUUGUCCCGGUAAUGGAGCCCCGCAGCCCCUCCCGCCGCUCCCUGAGGUAUCGCCCUCUCCUCGCGCCCCUUUCUUCAUCCUAUUAAAAUCCUCCUCGUAGGGCGCUCUGACGGCGCGGUUACGUCGCUGUCUGACUUUGAUGCUCUCCUGUGGCCGCCCUCGGGCCGCAGGAAUGUUACAGGGCCUUACAUGUGGCGAGGUUCGGCGUACAGAUAGAGAAAUUAGAGGAUCGCGAGUGGAUGCUGAACAACAGCUGGCUGCAGGGCUGGUUGUGCGCUGCGCGGCGUGUGAGCGCUUUGCUGUCGUGGAGUGAGAUCACAGAACUGCAGCGUGGUGGGUUGGAAGGGACCUGAAAGAUCACAGAACCAUGGAGUAGUUAGUUGGCUUGGAAAUAACCUUAAAGGUCACAGAACCAUAGAGUGGUUGUCUUGGAAAGGACCUUACAGCCCCUCCAGCCCCUCUCCUGCCGUGGGCUGGGUGCUCCCCAGCUCAGGCUGCCCAGGACCCUUCCGUGGCCUGCAGCACCUGCAGCUCUGGGGCACCCGCAGCUCUGGGCAGCACUGGUGAGCCAGAACCUCACCACUCUAGGUGAAGGAUUUCCCCCUAACGUCUAACAUGAAUCUGCCCUUGUCCUAUCGCUAUUAGGCCUCGUAAUGGUUCCUAUAUAGAAGCUUUAGUGGUGCAGGGGGUUCUGGGUAUCUUUCUUUACAGCACGUUCUUAGUCACUUCCUCUGACAAAUUGUGCUGUUUUAGAGUUUUUUCUGUUGGUUUCUGUCUCCAGCAGACUUUCGGUUGUUCUCAGAGGGCUCUGGAGAGGUGAAGGGCUGAACUCAGCUCUUGGGGAGAUGUGCGUUAUAUUUCCACAUAGUUUUGUAGUUGUGCCAUGUGUCUUUUAAAGAUACCAUCAGGAUAAUUUUUUGAGAGCUCUGCUAUAAUGCUGUGUCCUGGUUUCUGAGUGAAUAACGACUUGUUUUGUUCUGGACUUACCUACUUUCUUUUUUUCUCUUGUCCAGCUACAAACACACAGUGCUGAUCACCACUAGUGCUCGUGGUUGGAAAGGCUGUUUUCUACAUAGUAUGGAUGUUGUUGAACAGUAACUUCCAGUGCUGACAUAUUUUUAUUUAUUUUUAAAUGCACUUCAUAACCACACAGCGACUGUAGCUACUUUCCAGCACUGCUGACUGAUAUUGCCACUAACUUUGACUGGAGUGGAGAACUGUGCUAUUUGGAAAAUGGUGUGCUUAUUUUCUUAAACUUCUGCUUCAGUGCUUUUUCAAGCAGCAUAUUCAGUGGUUUCUACCCCUGAAGUUAAAGAAACUUACAUAUACUUUGUGCUUUACGUGGUGCAGUAAAAGCUCAGCCUCCAACUUUGAGGCACAACUCCCCAACAGUUAUGCUAUUAAAAUACAAAGCUGCUCUGCUUAAGUCUUCUAAAAUAAGCUUAGCCGGGUUGUUUGUAAGGUUCCUUCCAUAAAAUCUAGGCUUGAAGCCACAAGGAAUGUCUUUUUAACAUCUUAUGUUCGAUGCUAUUUGACUUGAUUACUUACAAGUUUUUCUGUAUGAAGUUAGUAAGAAAGCUUAGCAACCUGAUUUUUGUCAGGGUAAAAUUGGUAAGUAUUAGGAAUUCUCUUAUUAUGGUUAAAUAUAGAAAUGCAAAACUAAAACUUUUAUGGGUCUGACCACAAACGUUUCAGGCAGCUGGAUCUUGAGACAUGUUUGGGUCAUUGUUUUUACUUAACUGUCAAAAAUGCAGAUUUUGGCAUGGCUUCAUUGUUUGAAGCAGUUUCUGAUCUCUGCAGAUCUCAGCACUGGCAGGCAGGUGUGUUGGGCACAGCAUUUGCACUGGGAGGUCUGGAGCUGCAUGGUGCUCUUUUGUGUCCUUGUGCUGACUUUUCUCCUGUGACUUCUGAGGAACUAAUCAUGGAAUUUCUGUGUUCUGGUGUGCUUUGAGCAGUGGGGAGCUGUGUGAUAGGUGUUCCAUCAGCCACAAGGUGGCUGCUGUGUGUUCUGUGGAGCUGGUGUGCUGGAAGCAGAGCAGGUGAGCAACAGGCUGCUGUUUGGGUUCUGAGUCCUCUCCUCAGUGCUGUUUGAAGGGGAGCAUUGCUGGUAGUUAAGUCUGCAGACAGAACAGCUGUUAGUGGCUGAAGUGAGGCUGGCACAUUACACUGUUCUGCUGGAGUGUCAUUUCCUAUGCUGUAAAUGUUGCACCGUGUGAAUGAAAGCCCAUGAAGUGGGAAGACAGAUAAAAGUGGGAAGACUUGAUACAAAACUGUGCUGUUAUUUAACCAAAAAUACAAAUGCAAGUGCAUUUUACUGAUGUCUCUGGUAAUUUGUAAUGGAAUUAAGCACUUGUGGCAGCAUGCGUUUUGCUGGCAGGUACAGUCUGUGGCUCUUUCUGUCUCUGUCGCAAGCUCUGGGAUCACUGAGCUGUUCUUUGUCCUGGAUACUGCUGUGUCUCAGACCCAGGGUUUAAAAAACUAGGCUUCAAAAUAAAUAUCUAAAUUGAGAGCAGCUAGACAAGAAACAGAACAAAUAGUUCUGUGUUACAACUCAAUUUUUCUGAAGUGAGUAAAACGAGCAUCUUAAUAGAACCAGGCUGUGAGUCUAUGUGCUGCCUGGUUCAUUGGGUUUUUCAUCAAGUCUAGUGUUUUGCUUUAGCGGCGUCUUUUAUAUUCCAGGAAAAUAAAAACAGCAGCAGCUGUGUGUGGGGAAUGAGGGGGACAAACUGAUUGUUCCUCAGAGCAGUACACUUUACUGCUGUAAGCAUGACUAACUGCAGAGGUAAUGGUAGCCAUAAAGCUAUGGUGUGUGGCAUGUUGAGAAACAUACAUUUGCAGUACUUUCUUCUGAUGGAGUGCCUGGUGACUCGGUCCGACUCAUGGGCUCCACUGAGUAGGAGAUGUUUUUUUUCACAAUUCCUCCAGCAGUUCCUCCAGCUGCCUCUGCUGGAGGAGGGAGGGCAGUGACAGGGCUCAGCUGGGGCACUGCCACCUCUCCCUCUUCCCACAUGGGUGCACUAUUCAGCAUCUUCAAGCAGAUGGGUUUACAGAUACCUGUAACCUGGACAGACUUUCACCGUGUGGUGAAACCUAUCUUCUUUCUUCUUCCUCUCCAACUGAACAACAGUAGAAUUGCUGGAUGAGGAGCAAUCAGGAAGCUGGUAGCCUUCUUUGUGCGCUCUGGGACGAAGAAAGUUCCUCGUAGCGUCUCCAGUACUUUCGGUUCAUUACUGCACAUCUUUCUUGUGUCACUUCGUUGUUGCCUUUGGAGAGCCCUGGAGGUCUGGCAGCCCUCUUGGGUCCUUCAGUUGCUUCUGGAAGGCUUUUCCUGGGGCCAGGAUCUCAGGUUGUGUUUUUCCCACUUGUCUUUCAUCGUUAUUACCGGAGCUGCAUUUCUUUAAGUAUUUUGGACGUACAUCUAAAGCAGAGUCAGAACUUGAUGCCUCGCCCUCAAGACUUUUCAUUCAAAUAAGCAGUCAUGACCAGACUUCUGCAUGGCAGGAUGUAAGCUCUGCUGGUUUCCAUGGAAGUCCCUCGGGUUGUGUUGCUGGAAUAGCAAAUAACUGCAAACAGCUUGUUAAGUGCUUGCGUGGGGGAGUGGGUUUGGGGAGCGAGAAACUUAAUUGCCUCUGUUAUUUGUACAUUAGUGCCAUUCUCAUGUGAAAUGCUUUAUUACUUACCUUCAAACUGAACUCCCACCAUCUAUUGAACAGAAGUAUAUGUUGGUGCCUCUGUGCUCGGUUCUUUCAGAACGGAAUGUUCUGCCUCUGGUCCUGUAAGCUCUCAGCAGUGGUAUUCCUGCACACCUCAGCUCCGCAGUGAUCGACCUGCAGCAGGUUUGCUUGCAGAUCUUCUACAUGUAAGCACAUCGGAGGCUGGCAUCAGAAGCAGCCGUUUAUCUGACUAGAUGUGCCUUAACAUGAUCCUGAAAUUGCAGGCACGCUACGGAAUGAGGUGCAGUCUGGUGAGCACACUUCCCUUACAGAGACGUUGUGAUGUGCAGAUGUGAAAGUGGGAGAAGUAUUAAAUCUGGACUUUUU